ACAGCAGUCGCCACGGUAAUACGUAGGGUGCAAGCGUUAAUCGGAAUUACUGGGCGUAAAGCGUGCGCAGGCGGUUAUAUAAGACAGAUGUGAAAUCCCCGGGCUCAACCUGGGAACUGCAUUUGUGACUGUAUAGCUAGAGUACGGCAGAGGGGGAUGGAAUUCCGCGUGUAGCAGUGAAAUGCGUAGAUAUGCGGAGGAACACCGAUGGCGAAGGCAAUCCCCUGGGCCUGUACUGACGCUCAUGCACGAAAGCGUGGGGAGCAAACAGGAUUAGAUACCCGAGUAGUCCCUGUCUCUUAUAC
This 305-nucleotide ribosomal RNA is filed under the name uncultured bacterium. Its description in RNAcentral is "partial 16S ribosomal RNA". It matches the Rfam family "Bacterial small subunit ribosomal RNA", at positions 505 to 807 of the family's 1533-position model. The record is from RNAcentral.